This 733-nucleotide ribosomal RNA is filed under the name Trypanosoma avium. RNAcentral describes it as "SSU rRNA". It matches the Rfam family "Eukaryotic small subunit ribosomal RNA", at positions 122 to 771 of the family's 1831-position model. Lineage: Eukaryota; Euglenozoa; Kinetoplastea; Trypanosomatida; Trypanosomatidae. The record is from RNAcentral.
UUGCGGUUUCCGCAACAUUGGAUAACUUGGCGAAACGCCAAGCUAAUACAUGAACCAACGGGACGCUCUCUGUUCCGGCGGUGGGGCAACUCACCGCCAUGGGACGUCCAGCGAAUGAAUGAAAGUAAAAUCAAUGCCUUAACCGGCAGUAACACCCAGAAGUGUUGACUCAAUUCAUUCCGUGCGAAAGCCGGGUUUUACCCGGCGUCUUUUGACGAACAACUGCCCUAUCAGCCAGUGAUGGCCGUGUAGUGGACUGCCAUGGCGUUGACGGGAGCGGGGGAUUAGGGUUCGAUUCCGGAGAGGGAGCCUGAGAAAUAGCUACCACUUCUACGGAGGGCAGCAGGCGCGCAAAUUGCCCAAUGUCAAAAAAAACGAUGAGGCAGCGAAAAGAAAUAGAGCCGAAGGUGCCUAGUGCAUUGUCGUAUUCAAUGGGGGAUAUUUAAACCCAUCCAAAAUCGAGUAACAAUUGGAGGACAAGUCUGGUGCCAGCACCCGCGGUAAUUCCAGCUCCAAAAGCGUAUAUUAAUGCUGUUGCUGUUAAAGGGUUCGUAGUUGAAUUGAGGGCCUUUGAGGCGCAAUGGUUUGUCCCGUCCACUUCGGAUUGGUGACCCAUGCCCUUGAGGUCCGUGAACACUCAGAAACAAGAAACACGGGAGUGGUACCUUUCCUGAUUUUCGCAUGUCAUGCAUGCCAGGGGGCGCCCGUGAUUUUUACUGUGACUAAAAAAGUG